UUAUGGAUAUUUCAUAUGAAUUUAUCAUGAAAUUAGGGGUCAAACAAAAGUGGCUUUACUUAGAAAAAGUAUAAAACUAGGUACUUGAAAUCAGAGGUGAGAAGAUUAUCUACAAUGAUUGGAAGGUAUUGAGGAGAAAGUUCAGCUUGAAAGAACAUAUAGAAUAAAAGAAGAGAUAAUUGAUUUGUUAGAAGAGAUAAAGGUUUUAAAAAGAGAGGCAGUAGACAUCAAAGAAGAGAUAGCA
RNAcentral lists this long non-coding RNA (244 nucleotides) under Elaeis guineensis (African oil palm). Its description in RNAcentral is "long non-coding RNA (EGUI_LNC010192)". The record is from RNAcentral. Lineage: Eukaryota; Viridiplantae; Streptophyta; Magnoliopsida; Arecales; Arecaceae.